CCUACGGGAGGCAGCAGUGGGGAAUAUUGCACAAUGGGGGAAACCCUGAUGCAGCGACGCCGCGUGAGUGAAGAAGUAUCUCGGUACGUAAAGCUCUAUCAGCAGGGAAGAAAAUGACGGUACCUGACUAAGAAGCCCCGGCUAACUACGUGCCAGCAGCCGCGGUAAUACGUAGGGGGCAAGCGUUAUCCGGAUUUACUGGGUGUAAAGGGAGCGUAGACGGCAGGACAAGUCUGGAGUGAAAUCCCGGGGCCUAACCCCGGAACUGCCUUGGAAACUGUGCGGCUGGAGUGCAGGAGGGGUAAGCGGAAUGCCUGGUGUAGCGGUGAAAUGCGUAGAUAUUAGGAGGAACACCGGUGGCGAAGGCGGCAUACUGGACUGUAACUGACGUUGAGGCUCGAAAGCGUGGGGAGCAAACAGGAUUAGAUACCCGGGUAGUC
RNAcentral lists this ribosomal RNA (440 nucleotides) under uncultured bacterium. Its description in RNAcentral is "partial 16S ribosomal RNA". It matches the Rfam family "Bacterial small subunit ribosomal RNA", at positions 338 to 795 of the family's 1533-position model. The record is from RNAcentral.